Molecule: long non-coding RNA, 921 nt
Filed under: Anser cygnoides (Swan goose)
Lineage: Eukaryota; Metazoa; Chordata; Aves; Anseriformes; Anatidae
Description: lncRNA (ENSACDG00005000417.1)
Source: RNAcentral
CUCUACUCAUGACUUCUUUCUCAGAGCAACUGCUGAGAUGUUUGAUAAUGCCUGGGUGUAAAGCUGAUUCACUACAGCAAGCCUCGUACACUUGGCAGGGUUAUGAAGUUUCUGUGUUUAGGCGGCAUCGAUCACUUUGAAAUACCUUCUAAAUAGAAUGACUGAAUUGAUGCAGCUGUUUGGUGCCAUCUGUGGUGUAAAUGUCUUCUGUCUUCCUUCAUGCACAUAUAGAUGAAUUCUCUGUAGUUUCUCCAGAGGUGAUAACGACAAGGCUCCUUCCCUCUGGAAACACAUGCAACUUUGCUGGCAUAAUAGAAACACCGAAAGGGAGAACCAGCAGCAGAUGCAGAUUACUCUUUCGGCAAGUGGAAAGGAAAUACAGAAUCUGGAUUGUCUUCUUGGGACAGAUUUCCUUCAGUGCUGAGUUAGGACAUCUUUGGGAAUAUUUCCUGAGAAGCAGAAGGACUGGGAUAAGCAAGUGGAAACCUAAAGGGGCAGCUGACAACAGAGUGGUGUUGAAGCCGAUUCAUCCUAAAGGGCAGUCCACUCACCCUCACUCAAGAGAACAGAAAGGUGAAGACCAGGGUGUUAAUUUACAAGCAAUUAGCCCUGAAUGAACCACUUGCUCUAGGCUGGUGAACUUUGGGACUUCGAACUUUGGCUUUGGGGACCGCUGUUAAGCCCUUGUUCACAUGCUUCACAUGAGAACCCUCCUCUGAUGACUUCUUCACAGCUCUGAACUUUGUUUAAAAGACCAGACAACUGGGCCAAGGACAGGUUGUGAUAGCAGCAGCAGUAACAUAAGGUAGAGGAAAACAAGGUGCUUGUCCUCGUGGGGGACUUCAACUUCCCGGACAUAUCCUGGAAACACAACACGGCACAGAGAAAGCAGUCUAGGAGGUUUCUGGAGAGCGUGGGAGA